CGAAAGCCUGACGGAGCAAUACCGCGUGAGGGAGGAAGGCUCUUGGGUUGUAAACCUCAAAACUUAGGGAAGAAAAAAAUGACGGUACCUAAUCUAAGCAUCGGCUAACUCCGUGCCAGCAGCCGCGGUAAUACGGAGGAUGCAAGCGUUAUCCGGAAUUAUUGGGCGUAAAGCGUUCGUAGGCGGCUAGUCAAGUCUGCUGUCAAAGACCGAAGCUUAACUUCGGACGGGCAGUGGAAACUGAAAAGCUAGAGUACAGAAGGGGUAGAGGGAAUUCCCAGUGUAGCGGUGAAAUGCGUAGAGAUUGGGAAGAACACCAGUGGCGAAGGCGCUCUACUGAGCUUGUACUGACGCUGAGGGACGAAAGCUAGGGUAGCG
RNAcentral lists this ribosomal RNA (378 nucleotides) under uncultured cyanobacterium. RNAcentral's name for it is "bacterial SSU rRNA". It matches the Rfam family "Bacterial small subunit ribosomal RNA", at positions 376 to 770 of the family's 1533-position model. Lineage: Bacteria; Bacillati; Cyanobacteriota. The record is from RNAcentral.